This 417-nucleotide ribosomal RNA is filed under the name Chorotypus fenestratus. Its description in RNAcentral is "partial 12S ribosomal RNA". Lineage: Eukaryota; Metazoa; Arthropoda; Insecta; Orthoptera; Chorotypidae. The record is from RNAcentral.
UAGAUAAAAUCUUUAAACUCAAAGAAUUUGGCGGUACUUUAUCUAUUUAGAGGAACCUGUCCUGUAAUUGAUGGUUCACGAUUGACUUUACUUGAUUUAUUUGUUUGUAUAUCUCCGUUAUCAGGAUAUUUUAUCAGAAUUUUAAUUUCCUUAAUUUCUUAAAGAAAAUAUUUCAGGUCAAGAUACAGCUUAUAAUCGAGAAGAGAUGGGUUACAAUAAUUAUAUUUAAACGGAUAUUAUAUAGAAUAUAUAAAUUUAAGGUGGAUUUAUUAGUAAAUUUAAUUAACUUAUUUCUUUGAUAUUAGUUCUAGAGUAUGUACAUAUCGCCCGUCGCUCUCAUUAGUUUAUUAUAUUGAUAAAUAUAAGGUGAGAUAAGUCGUAACAUAGUAGAUGUAUCGGAAGAUGUAUCUAGUAAGA